Molecule: ribosomal RNA, 205 nt
Filed under: uncultured bacterium
Lineage: Bacteria
Description: partial 16S ribosomal RNA
Rfam family: Bacterial small subunit ribosomal RNA
Source: RNAcentral
UGCGCAGGUGGCCGGGUAAGUCUGAUGUGAAAUCCCGCAGCUUAACUGCGGAAUGGCAUUGGAUACUAUUCGGCUAGAGGGUUGGAGGGGGGACUGGAAUUCUCGGUGUAGCAGUGAAAUGCGUAGAUAUCGAGAGGAACACCAGUGGCGAAGGCGAGUCCCUGGACAACUCCUGACACUGAGGACAAGCUAGGGGAGCAAACAG